UUUUGUUUCACUUUUCAGGCCGGGGAUAGGUGCUUUCUUCACAUUGGUCAUUGGUGAGAACAAUCUAAUAAUGGGUUCUUGCCAUGUAUUGCUCAUGAUUGCAAGAUCGGUGACAACAACAUAUCUGCCAACAAUACUCUUCUUGCAGGCCAUGUGGUCGUAGAGGUAAUAUUAACUAUACACACACAGCAGGAGCCACUGUGGUUCACCAGUUUUGCCACAUUGGUUCUUUCUCUUGCAUCAGUGGUGGUUCAGUGGUAUGUCCUUUCUCAGAGCUCUCAGUUGCAAUGUGCCUUUCCUCACACAACGGGAACUCUUAUCGGGUUUUCUGCAUAAAAAGUGGAAUGCAAAGCUCCGGGUUUUUUCUUGUUGUC
Long non-coding RNA from Tarenaya hassleriana, 374 nucleotides. RefSeq lists it as uncharacterized. Lineage: Eukaryota; Viridiplantae; Streptophyta; Magnoliopsida; Brassicales; Cleomaceae. The transcript is spliced from 2 exons. The record is from RefSeq and is a predicted model, not a curated record.